This 383-nucleotide long non-coding RNA is filed under the name Carica papaya (papaya). Its description in RNAcentral is "long non-coding RNA (CPAP_LNC009992)". The record is from RNAcentral. Lineage: Eukaryota; Viridiplantae; Streptophyta; Magnoliopsida; Brassicales; Caricaceae.
CACAAGGUGUUUAGUAGGUGGAGGCAAAGUAUGGGGAUGGGCAACUCGGAGUCAUUUAUUAGGAUGACUACUAAUUGGGUCAGACAAUCUUGUUCUUGAUUGUUGGUGUUGGUGAUGGUGUUAUUGUUGUUGGGAACGAACUCAGGCAAUAUGUUCGUGUCAAGUCGAGAUAAGAUCUUCAAUCAACUGAACAUGUUUCAGCACCUCAACAUACGAGUUAGGUCUCAGCAUCGCGACUCGAUCAUAGAUGUCGACAUGAAGGCCCUUUAAAAACUUCCUAACCUUACGACUCUCAAGGGUGACCAUUAGUGGGGCAAAGGUAGACAACCGAACAAAUCGGGUUGUAUAUUAGGCAACCAUCAAAUUUCCCUAGCAGAGAUUGU